UACGUAGGUGGCAAGCGUUGUCCGGAUUUACUGGGCGUAAAGGGUGCGUAGGUGGCCAACUAAGUCAGACGUGAAAUCCCCCGGCUUAACCUGGGAACUGCGUCUGAUACUGGGAGGCUUGAGUAUGGGAGAGGGAUGUAGAAUUCCAGGUGUAGCGGUGAAAUGCGUAGAUAUCUGGAGGAAUACCGGUGGCGAAGGCGGCAUCCUGGACCAUUACUGACGCUGAGGCGCGAAAGCUAGGGGAGCAAACGGG
Molecule: ribosomal RNA, 253 nt
Filed under: uncultured bacterium
Lineage: Bacteria
Description: partial 16S ribosomal RNA
Rfam family: Bacterial small subunit ribosomal RNA
Source: RNAcentral